Molecule: long non-coding RNA, 286 nt
Organism: Pygoscelis adeliae (Adelie penguin)
Lineage: Eukaryota; Metazoa; Chordata; Aves; Sphenisciformes; Spheniscidae
Exons: 2
Source: RefSeq, a predicted model, not a curated record
UCCAGGAGCUAACAGAGGAGGUGGCCAAGCAGCUGAGGCAACCACGUGCGGCAGCUGAAGGCCAACAAGGCAGAGAAGGCCCAGGUCGACAUGGAGGUGGCCAAGCUGCUGGAGCUGAAGAAGCAGCUGGCACUAGCAGAGGGCAAAAGCCCUGAAGACCCUGUGCCCAAGGGGAAGUGGAAGAAGUAGCACCUGGCUCCUCUGGGCAGGGGAGCAGCCCCAGUGCUACCGAGACCAGACUGGGCUGUGCUGGUGGUCAUGUGCAUGUAAUAAAAUGCAAAAACUA